Long non-coding RNA from Herpailurus yagouaroundi (jaguarundi), 2554 nucleotides. RefSeq lists it as uncharacterized. The transcript has 4 exons. Lineage: Eukaryota; Metazoa; Chordata; Mammalia; Carnivora; Felidae. The record is from RefSeq and is a predicted model, not a curated record.
AAUUGCUGCUUGCGGGUCACGUACGACCCGGGACGUGGGCAUGAGGGCUGUCUCGCCAGCGGGUGACACGGACCUGCCAGCUACCUUUAGGUGCAAGGCAGCUGGGCAUGAGGCAGGUGGUCGCCUGGCGUGCGGGCGGGGGAGAGAUGGCAGGAAGAGUUUCACGAGGGGUGGGCGGCGGCGAGCGGGAACACCGCUUGGGUGGCUGUAUCUACGAGCCGCGGGCGGGUGAACCACGCACGGUCCAAUCUCGUUAAGUCCAACGCAUCCCUCUUAGAACGAUGGGACCACAGCCACGGCGCACCACUGUCCCGCAUCCGCCACCCACGUGGCCGUGCUGCGGGAGAAAGCUGACCAAGUCGGACUCUGGGCAACGUGUGGGGCCCCCCAAAGGCGUGACAGGUCAGCUCCAUGGGUCUACACACUUGGAAAUGCCAACACUGAACUUUGGCUCAAACUUUGUCCAACUAUCCCCGUGAGCGACGGCUCAACCCUCUGAGCAUCCAACGGAAUGGGCCAACUGGGUCGCGACCGUCCACUCACUCCCCUCCGACCCCAGUGCCGGGUCAGCCAUUGGGCUGGGGUCACGCCAAUCAAGGUUGCCUGGCGAAUGAGCAGGGGGCGUCCGGCCGGAAACCGGAUAUGAAUGGGAGGUCCAAUAGGGGGCGCCGCGUUGGAACGCCCUGAGAGGUUGUGCUGCUGGGGUGGUUGGAAGCGGUUGGUGGGCGGGCGUAUGGCGGCCAGGCCUGGGACGCCUCGAGGCCGGCUGGCGCCGUGGGGUCACUCUUCCUGAUGCCACAAGUCACAAAGGCUGGAAGGGAAGGUUGGGGGCUGACAGGGGUCAACCCUAGGUCUCGCAGGUGGCGGUGGGCAAACCCUCCCGUCCGGGGGAACCGCUGCUGAGACCAGGCGAGAAGGAAGAAAAUGUCCAGGGCCUGGAGGUAGAGGGCCAGGACCCUGAGGAGGGAGAGGGCUCACUGCCCCGAUGCGGAGGAGCAGUCCCAGACGGAAAAGGAGUUGAGGCCCCAGGGAUGCUGCGCCCUGCCGAAGUAGAAGGGACUGGCCACCAGAAUCUGAAACCUCAAAUCACUCACGCGAGGGGGUUCAAAGCUGAAAGCAUCACAGAUCAGCAGUGGGACUUGAGACGCCUCAGAAGCGCGUCCAGAUGUUUGAGGAGCUGGCCAACGUGAACGGCAGCUGGCGGGCCUGGCCACGGGGACCUGAGGACCCCGCUAUGAUACAUGCUUUCCCCUACACCAUGGUUUCUGCUCAGUUUCCUCUCAAUAGCUUCCGUCUGCAGGAAGAGCGGCGAUAACACAGAUUCACCAAAGACGUCGUACUUGGUGAACGCAGGCUGCUAAGACGUUACCACAGGAAAAAAAAUAACACGUAAUGCCACAGAAAGGAGCCAUAUGCCCACUGGUGACCUGAAGUAGAAAUUUCAACUUCGGAGAGCUCCAUCUCACUUAGGCAAUUUCACACUGGUAAGCCAAAGGCAGCGCGCGCCUGGCCCUGCUGCGCCACCUCGGCAGCCUCCCGACUUCUGACCCCUCCCCGCGGCCCAGGGAAGCCCCCUGCUACCAAACGGCCCUCUGGGUCCAUACUAGUGAAGACACACAGGCAUCCAGCAGCCAGCAUAACUAAGUUCUGGGGCGCCGCGACGCCUUUCCCAGAGAAGAGACCUGGAAGGAGGACCAAGAAAAGUGUGUUCCUUCCGGCCUCAUCCUUCCCCUAGGAGUUUAAGAACCCGACUGAUCUUUUCCUUUCCAGCCUAAAAACGGUUCACUCCCCCCUCCCCCCAAAUCAUUCUCCGCAGACUAGCCCAAACCCGCGCAAAGCGAGACGCACGCGCGCACCAAGAAAACAUCAAUUUCCAUACCGGGUGAGGUUCUGUAAAAUACAUUUCAUUUGUCAGUCUUUUCCUCCAGGAUUGGCAGGUAAGACACACUUUACGCACCGAAGAUGACACACUUUACGCACCGAAGAUCUGUUACCGGAUUGCAGCCGUUUUUGUGCUCGGACACCAGGGCGGUUUCACCUCCAGGUUACGGAUUCCAAACUUAGCUCCACCCGAGCCGAAAAUGGCCGGUGCGCCGCCUCCCCUCCCCGAGGCUGCCGAAGCCGCCGCCGGCCCCUGCCCCCCUCUUGACCGAUCCCCGAAGGACUUGCGUCGGAUCGGAUCCAACACCUUUCCCCGGCGCGGUAGUGCUGUGCUCUUUGGGGACGCAUUGUAGGGUGCCCCGAUGAAAGACGCGAUCCCCUCUCCAGCCCCGUUCCUUGUGCCGCUUUACCUUUCCGCUCGGCACCGCCUCGCGGGCCUCUUAGCCCCUCUCUUCUGUCCCCAGGUCCGUGCGCAAACAGCCUCAGACCUCUCCAGCCAGGCUGCACCCGGCCCCGCCGCCAGAUCAGCUGCGCCAAAAGGGUAGCGAUGCCCCGACGUGACCAAGCCCGCGCCACUAACCCUGGUAGCCGGUAGGGGCACCCCCUAAGACUCCCGUACCUUCUCUGCCAGCCCUCCAAGUACGCGUGAUUCGUGGGGAACCGCGGGCGGUCC